UACGAAGGGGGCUAGCGUUGCUCGGAAUCACUGGGCGUAAAGCGCACGUAGGCGGCUUUCUAAGUCAGGGGUGAAAUCCUGGAGCUCAACCCCAGAACUGCCUUUGAUACUGGAGAGCUUGAGUCCGGAAGAGGUGAGUGGAACUCCGAGUGUAGAGGUGAAAUUCGUAGAUAUUCGGAAGAACACCAGUGGCGAAGGCGGCUCACUGGUCCGGUACUGACGCUGAGGUGCGAAAGCGUGGGGAGCGAACAGG
RNAcentral lists this ribosomal RNA (253 nucleotides) under uncultured bacterium. RNAcentral's name for it is "partial 16S ribosomal RNA". It matches the Rfam family "Bacterial small subunit ribosomal RNA", at positions 524 to 776 of the family's 1533-position model. The record is from RNAcentral.